UACGUAGGGUCCGAGCGUUGUCCGGAAUUACUGGGCGUAAAGAGCUCGUAGGUGGUUUGUCGCGUUGUUCGUGAAAACUCACAGCUUAACUGUGGGCGUGCGGGCGAUACGGGCAGACUUGAGUACUGCAGGGGAGACUGGAAUUCCUGGUGUAGCGGUGGAAUGCGCAGAUAUCAGGAGGAACACCGGUGGCGAAGGCGGUUCUCUGGGCCUGUACUGACGCUGAGGAGCGAAAGCGUGGGGAGCAAACAGG
Molecule: ribosomal RNA, 253 nt
Filed under: uncultured bacterium
Lineage: Bacteria
Description: partial 16S ribosomal RNA
Rfam family: Bacterial small subunit ribosomal RNA
Source: RNAcentral